Molecule: ribosomal RNA, 425 nt
Filed under: uncultured bacterium
Lineage: Bacteria
Description: bacterial SSU rRNA
Rfam family: Bacterial small subunit ribosomal RNA
Source: RNAcentral
GGGGAAUAUUGGACAAUGGGGGCAACCCUGAUCCAGCCAUGUCGCGUGUGUGAAGAAGGCCUUCGGGUUGUAAAGCACUUUAAGCGGGGAGGAAGGCCUGAUGGCUAAUAUCCAUCGGGAUUGACGUUACCCGCAGAAUAAGCACCGGCAAACUUCGUGCCAGUAGUCGCGGUAAUACGAAGGGUGCGAGCGUUAAUCGGAAUUAUUGGGCGUAAAGCGCGCGUAGGCGGUUAAGUAAGCGAUCUGUGAAAGCCCCGGGCUUAACCUGGGAACUGCAGGUCGAACUGCUUGGCUAGAGUAUGGUAGAGGGGUGUGGAAUUUCCUGUGUAGCGGUGAAAUGCGUAGAUAUAGGAAGGAACAUCAGUGGCGAAGGUGACACCCUGGACCGAUACUGACACUGAGGCGCGAAAGCGUGGGUAGCGAAC